AUUUGCUUAUGAAGAAUUGUCAUUGAGAGAAGUAUUGUUGAGACUAAGAUUAGAAUGUUGUGGAAUAUGACUUUGAACUGACCGUUUUGGAAAAAAUUUGUGACCUUUAGAAUUGAGAUUAUCGAAUUGUGUUGUGUUAAGUGAAGAUAUUGAAUUUUGUGUGAUGAAUUGAGAAACUGAAUAUAAUAAGUAAGUUGGAGAUCAGUAAUUGAAUAUAUAUAAACCGCAAAGAGAGUAAGUGAGAG
RNAcentral lists this long non-coding RNA (245 nucleotides) under Physcomitrium patens. RNAcentral describes it as "long non-coding RNA (PPAT_LNC012372)". Lineage: Eukaryota; Viridiplantae; Streptophyta; Bryopsida; Funariales; Funariaceae. The record is from RNAcentral.